GUGUCAGCCGCCGCGGUAAGACAGAGGAGCCAAGCGUUGUCCGGACUGACUGGGCGUAAAGGGCCCGCAGGCGGCUGGGCGCGUGGGGUGUGAAAGCUGGCGGCUUAACCGUCAGAGGCCACCGCAAACGGCCCGGCUGGAGCCGCGCAGAGGCGGGUGGAAUUGCCGGUGUAGUGGUGAAAUGCGUAGAGAUCGGCAGGAACACCCAGGGGGAAACCAGCCCGCUGGGCGCGAGCUGACGCUGAGGGGCGACAGCGUGGGGAGCGAACCGGAUUAGAAACCCUCGUAGUCC
RNAcentral lists this ribosomal RNA (292 nucleotides) under uncultured bacterium. RNAcentral's name for it is "partial 16S ribosomal RNA". It matches the Rfam family "Bacterial small subunit ribosomal RNA", at positions 505 to 796 of the family's 1533-position model. The record is from RNAcentral.